RNAcentral lists this ribosomal RNA (253 nucleotides) under uncultured bacterium. Its description in RNAcentral is "partial 16S ribosomal RNA". It matches the Rfam family "Bacterial small subunit ribosomal RNA", at positions 524 to 776 of the family's 1533-position model. The record is from RNAcentral.
UAUAGAGGGUGCGAGCGUUUAAUCGGAAUUACUGGGCGUAAAGCGUGCGUAGACGGCUAUCUAAGUCGGGUGUGAAAGCCCCGGGCUCAACCUGGGAAUUGCAUUCGAGACUGAAUAGCUAGGGUGCGGUAGAGGGAAGCGGAAUUUCCGGUGUAGCGGUGAAAUGCGUAGAUAUCGGAAGGAACAUCAGUGGCGAAAGCGGCUUCCUGGACCAGCACCGACGUCAGGCACGAAAGCGUGGGGAGCAAACAGG